UUUUACAUAAUUUAACUAAAAUAUUACACUUUCACUGUAAAAUUAGACUGUUGUCUUGUAAAUA
RNAcentral lists this transfer RNA (64 nucleotides) under Trigonopterus selaruensis. RNAcentral describes it as "tRNA-Glu". Lineage: Eukaryota; Metazoa; Arthropoda; Insecta; Coleoptera; Curculionidae. The record is from RNAcentral.